Molecule: ribosomal RNA, 1068 nt
Filed under: Triticum aestivum (bread wheat)
Lineage: Eukaryota; Viridiplantae; Streptophyta; Magnoliopsida; Poales; Poaceae
Description: partial small subunit ribosomal RNA
Source: RNAcentral
AUGGCGGUGGCCAGGAUCGCCGCCGUCUUGACCGUGGCGGCGCUCUUCGCCGCGGCGGGGGCAGCGGAUCCCCAACCCGCAAAGGGAGCACAUUGCUGGCGGUACUACUCUUCCUGCAUGCACAAGUGCGACGGCUACCGUGAUGCCGCCGCCCGCUCCGUCAAUCGUACUCAGCCCGCCGUCCACACAACCGUCGACGAUGGUGCAGCAGCCGCCUCCAUCCCCGUCAACUCUAUCGAUGGCACUGCAGCAAUCACACACUCCACCGAUGGCACUCUAGCCGCUGUCGACAAAACCGAUGGUGCAGUCGCCCAUAUCGCCGACGGCUACGACGACAGGGACGACGAUGACAAGGGCGACAAAAAGGAUGACGAUGACUACGGUGAUAAGAAUGACAAGGACGACGAUGAUAAGGAUGACAAGGAUGACGACGAUGAUGAUAAGGACAACAAGGACGACGACGACAACGACGAUGAUAAGGACGACGAUGAUGAGAAUGAUGAUAACGAUGACGACGACGACGACGACCACGACGACAGCCGCAGCGACUGGCGGAAGUACUUCAAAUGCAAGAAGAUGUGCAUCGUGGACUGCUACAGGAGCCUGCCGCCGGUGUGCUACAAGAUGUGCAUCUCGGAGACCUGCCUCAAUCACCCACCCUAUAAACAGGCGGAUUGCUACAAAUCAUGCGGGCACAAAUGCUUGGACCACCACCACCACCACCACCAUCACCAUCACCACCACCACCCAAGCCCGGGUCCAAAGCCCCCGAGUCCGAAGCCACCAAAGCCGGAGCCAAAGCCGACGCCACCAAAGCCCACACCUCCAAAGCCCGCUCCACCGAAGCCCAUGCCGCCACCGUCGCCCAUAUCGCCGCCGUCGCCCAUGCCGCCGAAACCAACCCCGCCGAAGCCGCUGCUAAAGCGGCCGUGCCAUCCUAAUGCACGGAAGCCAAGGCUACCGUGUCCGUCGAAGACUAACUCGAAACCGAAGGCAAAGUCGAAGCCGAAGCCACCGUGCCCGUCGUCGGCCACUGUAUCUGUGUCGACCAACACUAGCAACAACUGA